RNAcentral lists this unclassified non-coding RNA (240 nucleotides) under soil metagenome. RNAcentral's name for it is "partial contains 5.8S ribosomal RNA, internal transcribed spacer 2, and large subunit ribosomal RNA". The record is from RNAcentral.
AACGCACGAGACCUGCGGACCUGCGGAGGGAUCAUUACCGAGUUUACAACUCCCAAACCCAAUGUGAACGUUACCAAACUGUUGCCUCGGCGGGAUCUCUGCCCCGGGUGCGUCGCAGCCCCGGACCAAGGCGCCCGCCGGAGGACCAACCAAAACUCUUUUGUAUACCCCCUCGCGGGUUUUUUAUAUCUGAGCCAUCUCGGCGCCUCUCGUAGGCGUUUCGAAAAUGAAUCAAAACUU